AUGUCUUCGUCAGCGAAGCACGGCACCACCACCACCUCCUCUUCCUCAAUAGACCCGGCAGAAACCGCCUCGUCCUCGUCGUACUUCCUACCAGAGCUGAUCCCACUGGUCGCGAGCCGACUGACGACCCUACAGGAUUUCUUCGCCCUCCGCGCCAUCUGCCGCACCUACCGGGCUCUCCUCCCGCUGUCGCAGUCCAACCUCGCCUCCCAGGCUCCGCUCCUCCUCGUCCCGCACAAGGCAUCUUCCUCGGAAGCCCUCUUCCACAUCCCACUCCGCCGCAUCCUCCGCUUUCGCCUACCCCGCACCCCCUUAGCCCACCGCGACCCCAACAAUGCCGAAUUCCAUUCCUUCGGUUGCCGUGUCGCCAUCGAAGACAGCGAUGCCAUGGGCAGCCACCUCGAGCUCCACAUCUGCCACCUCCUUACAGGCCAGCAAGUCCGCCUGCCCGAUCCCCCAAAAGACUACGAAGGAAUCAUCUUUGCCGGCGAUCUCGUCCUCACCUUUAAUCGAUACUACCACACCGUCCGCUACUGCCGCAUUGGAGGCAAGGACAAUGACUGGCGAGCAGCGCGGUGCGCUGAAGGCUACGGGCUUCGUGACCUGAUUUCCCUGAAUGGCACCCUCUACGCAUUGAUUUUUCCAAAUUACUGCCUCGCUGUCGUCGAGCUUGACAACAGUUACGUGGUAUUGUCGUUUCUUGGUGGUGAAUUGAGUGCAGAGACAGUUGAGAAUUCUUCAAUGUUGAGGCUAGCAGAGUGCCGUGGUGAGCUAUUGCUCAUUAGUGCUGUUAGGUACCCGGUGGGGUACCAAGUUUUCCAGUGGCAAUCUGGGGAUAGGAAGUGGGUGAGGACUACUGCCCUUGGUGGGUGUAGCUUGUUCUUUAAUAUUCUCCAGUUUGCAGGUUGCCUUGGUCCAGAUCAUCCAGCAGUUCAAGGGAACUGCUUGUACAUCAUUAAGUACAAUGGGCAGUGUAUCAAGUAUUCUCUGGUUGAUGGAUCUUCGCAUGAACUCGUUGCCGACUACCCAGGACAACCACGGGCUUGGGUCCUUCCAAGCAUUUGUUGA
This 1068-nucleotide ribosomal RNA is filed under the name Triticum aestivum (bread wheat). Its description in RNAcentral is "partial small subunit ribosomal RNA". Lineage: Eukaryota; Viridiplantae; Streptophyta; Magnoliopsida; Poales; Poaceae. The record is from RNAcentral.